RNAcentral lists this ribosomal RNA (452 nucleotides) under uncultured bacterium. RNAcentral describes it as "partial 16S ribosomal RNA". It matches the Rfam family "Bacterial small subunit ribosomal RNA", at positions 28 to 507 of the family's 1533-position model. The record is from RNAcentral.
GAUGAACGCUGGUGGCGUGCCUAACACAUGCAAGUCGAGCGAUUCUCUUCGGAGAAGAGCGGCGGACGGGUGAGUAACGCGUGGGUAACCUGCCCUGUACACACGGAUAACAUACUGAAAGGUAUGCUAAUACGAGAUAACAUGCUUUUAUCGCAUGGUAGAAGUAUCAAAGCUUUUGCGGUACAGGAUGGACCCGCGUCUGAUUAGCUAGUUGGUGAGGUAACGGCUCACCAAGGCGACGAUCAGUAGCCGACCUGAGAGGGUGAUCGGCCACAUUGGAACUGAGACACGGUCCAAACUCCUACGGGAGGCAGCAGUGGGGAAUAUUGCACAAUGGGCGAAAGCCUGAUGCAGCAACGCCGCGUGAGCGAUGAAGGCCUUCGGGUCGUAAAGCUCUGUCCUCAAGGAAGAUAAUGACGGUACUUGAGGAGGAAGCCCCGGCUAACUACGUG